UGGGGAAUAUUGCACAAUGGAGGGAACUCUGAUGCAGCGACGCCGCGUGAACGAAGAAGGCUUUCGAGUCGUAAAGUUCUUUUAUAUGGGAAGAUAAUGACGGUACCAUAAGAAAAAGCCCCGGCUAACUACGUGCCAGCAGCCGCGGUAAUACGUAGGGGGCUAGCGUUGUCCGGAAUCACUGGGCGUAAAGGGUUCGCAGGCGGAAAUGCAAGUCAGGUGUAAAAGGCAGUAGCUUAACUACUGUAAGCAUUUGAAACUGCAUAUCUUGAGAAGAGUAGAGGUAAGUGGAAUUUUUAGUGUAGCGGUGAAAUGCGUAGAUAUUAGGAGGAAUACCGGUGGCGAAGGCGACUUUCUGGCCAUAAUCUGACGCUGGGGUACGAAAGCGUGGGUAACAAACAGG
RNAcentral lists this ribosomal RNA (403 nucleotides) under Bacteroidota bacterium. RNAcentral describes it as "Bacteroidetes bacterium partial 16S ribosomal RNA". It matches the Rfam family "Bacterial small subunit ribosomal RNA", at positions 355 to 776 of the family's 1533-position model. The record is from RNAcentral. Lineage: Bacteria; Pseudomonadati; Bacteroidota.